This 255-nucleotide ribosomal RNA is filed under the name uncultured bacterium. RNAcentral describes it as "partial 16S ribosomal RNA". It matches the Rfam family "Bacterial small subunit ribosomal RNA", at positions 524 to 777 of the family's 1533-position model. The record is from RNAcentral.
GACGAACCGUGCGAACGUUGUUCGGAAUCACUGGGCUUAAAGGGCGCGUAGGCGGGCUCGCCAGUCAGGGGUGAAAGGCCCACGGCUCAACCGUGGAAGUGCCUUUGAUACUGCGAGUCUCGAGGGAGGUAGGGGCGUGCGGAACUUCCGGUGGAGCGGUGAAAUGCGUAGAGAUCGGGAGGAACACCAGUGGCGAAGGCGGCUACCUGGACCAGCACUGACACUGAGGCACGAAAGCGUGGGGAGCAAACAGGG